This is a non-coding RNA of Nematostella vectensis (starlet sea anemone), 73 nucleotides long. The record is from Rfam. NCBI's taxonomy places the organism in Eukaryota, Metazoa, Cnidaria, Anthozoa, Actiniaria, Edwardsiidae.
ACCUCUGUAACUCAGUGGUUAGAGCACUGGUCUUGUAAACCAGGGGACCAGAGUUCAAAUCUCUGCAGGGGCU